RNAcentral lists this ribosomal RNA (253 nucleotides) under uncultured bacterium. RNAcentral describes it as "partial 16S ribosomal RNA". It matches the Rfam family "Bacterial small subunit ribosomal RNA", at positions 524 to 776 of the family's 1533-position model. The record is from RNAcentral.
UACGUAGGGGGCUAGCGUUGUCCGGAUUUAUUGGGCGUAAAGAGCUCGUAGGCGGCUUGUCGCGUCGUCUGUGAAAUCCCGCGGCUCAACCGCGGGUCUGCAGUCGAUACGGGCAGGCUAGAGUUCGGUAGGGGAGACUGGAAUUCCUGGUGUAGCGGUGAAAUGCGCAGAUAUCAGGAGGAACACCGGUGGCGAAGGCGGGUCUCUGGGCCGAUACUGACGCUGAGGAGCGAAAGCGUGGGGAGCGAACAGG